CCAAAACAAAAUGGACAAAAAAAAAGUGGAGAAAACUGAAGUGGACAGAGGAGCAGAGCCUGCUGUUGGCACAGCUGGUUGCUGAGAAGAGGACUGUUAAAAGGUAUUGUCCCAGUAUCACAAAGAGGCAGAAUUGGGAGCGCAUUGCCAAGCAGAUCAAUGCGUCGUUCCCUCUGCUUUCAGCACCAGCCUGGAAUGUGAGCAGUUCUGGUUCCUGCUGCGAUCGGGUGCAAGAGAGGAGAUAGCAGCACACCAGAGAACUUCUCCACAGACGGCUCAGCAUGCCACACCUAGAGACGUCUGGAAUGAAAAGCCUUUCUGAAAUGAACGUCGUGUUUACCCAAGAGAAGAUACCUCUCUUCUCUCCGAGGCGUCACAUCAUGCUGACCUAUUUUAGAAAUCUGAUGCUCAAGGACGGGGAGACUGAGACCCUGGUUUGGUUGUAUCCUCUGGCCGUUCUCAAUUCUUGCAAGAAUUAAUAAAAGUGCCACUUUGAUUCUCACCAU
Long non-coding RNA from Girardinichthys multiradiatus, 506 nucleotides. RefSeq lists it as uncharacterized. The record is from RefSeq and is a predicted model, not a curated record. The transcript has 3 exons. Lineage: Eukaryota; Metazoa; Chordata; Actinopteri; Cyprinodontiformes; Goodeidae.